This is a long non-coding RNA of Helianthus annuus (common sunflower), 504 nucleotides long. RefSeq lists it as uncharacterized. NCBI's taxonomy places the organism in Eukaryota, Viridiplantae, Streptophyta, Magnoliopsida, Asterales, Asteraceae. The record is from RefSeq and is a predicted model, not a curated record. The transcript has 3 exons.
UAAUUAAAAGAAAUGUAAACACUAGAAGGGCUAAACUUGGGCAAUACUAAAAUAGAAGUAUUAGAAGAUGGAAAACCCAAAACACAUACACUUGUGCGUGGCUGGGAUCGAACAAACAGGGGGGAAAGCAAGGUGAAACCCUUGUUUUGCAUAUUCAAUCAAUUGAAGUGAAAAUUCAAGGAUAAUCUAGUGCAUGAACUUCAAUUUACACUCAUCUAAACUCGAAUAUUGAAGUGGCGUGAAAGAAGAAGGUUCAAACACUAGGAAAUCGGAAGGCUCACAAGAUCGAGGUAAAUCCUCAACAUAAGCGAUUGGACGAUUUGGAACGAGCACACAUGAUCUAUGCCCACCUCACGCUUCCGACAAUGCUAACUUAAUGUGGUCUUAAUUUUUGGUUUUAUGUACUUUCAACUUAUGUAGUCUUUUGAUGUCCUUGUAGUAUGGUCAAUGACUUUGUCGUAGUAGUCUUGUUUUGAACAAUGUAGAUAAUGUCCGUUUUCGGUU